RNAcentral lists this ribosomal RNA (254 nucleotides) under uncultured bacterium. RNAcentral describes it as "partial 16S ribosomal RNA". It matches the Rfam family "Bacterial small subunit ribosomal RNA", at positions 524 to 776 of the family's 1533-position model. The record is from RNAcentral.
UACGUAGGGAGCGAGCGUUGUCCGGAUUCAUUGGGCGUAAAGAGCUCGUAGGCGGCUUGGUAAGUCGGAUGUGAAACCUCCAGGCUCAACCUGGAGUCGCCAUCCGAUACUGCCAUGGCUAGAGUCCGGUAGGGGCCCACGGAAUUCCUGGUGUAGCGGUGAAAUGCGCAGAUAUCAGGAGGAGCACCGAUGGCGAAGGCAGUGGGCUGGGCCGGCACUGACGCUGAGGAGCGAAAGCGUGGGGAGCGAACAGG